This 537-nucleotide ribosomal RNA is filed under the name uncultured bacterium. RNAcentral's name for it is "partial 16S ribosomal RNA". It matches the Rfam family "Bacterial small subunit ribosomal RNA", at positions 355 to 901 of the family's 1533-position model. The record is from RNAcentral.
UGGGGAAUAUUGCACAAUGGGCGAAAGCCUGAUGCAGCAACGCCGCGUGAGGGACGACGGCCUUCGGGUUGUAAACCUCUUUUAGCAAGGAAGAAGCGAAAGUGACGGUACUUGCAGAAAAAGCGCCGGCUAACUACGUGCCAGCAGCCGCGGUAAUACGUAGGGCGCAAGCGUUAUCCGGAAUUAUUGGGCGUAAAGAGCUCGUAGGCGGUUUGUCGCGUCUGCUGUGAAAACCCGAGGCUCAACCUCGGGCCUGCAGUGGGUACGGGCAGACUAGAGUGCGGUAGGGGAGAUUGGAACUCCUGGUGUAGCGGUGGAAUGCGCAGAUAUCAGGAAGAACACCGAUGGCGAAGGCAGAUCUCUGGGCCGUAACUGACGCUGAGGAGCGAAAGGGUGGGGAGCAAAACAGGCUUAGAUACCCUGGUAGUCCACCCCGUAAACGUUGGGAACUAGUUGUGGGGUCCAUUCCACGGAUUCCGUGACGCAGCUAACGCAUUAAGUUCCCCGCCUGGGGAGUACGGCCGCAAGGCUAAAACU